ACUGUACAUGUAUGGAUUUGGACAAAUGUACAAUGAUGUGUAUCCAUGUUAUAUAAAUUAUUUUGACUUCCCUAAAAAUCCUCUGUGCUCUGCCUAUGUAUCUUUUCCUGCUGUCUCUUAAAAGGAAAGAUUUUGUCAACUAAAAAAACAAAAUAUGUUGCUUCAACAGCAACUGGAUGAUGCUCGCAACAAAGCUGACAAUCAAGAAAAGGCAAUACUUAAUAUUCAAGCCAGAUGUGAUGCUAGAGUACAAAACCUUCAAGCUGAGUGCAGAAAGCGCCGUCUUUUACUAGAAGACAGUAAAAGGUUGGUAAAUGAAUUGAAUCAUUUGAAAGAAAAAGAACGCCAAUAUGAAAAAAAGCAAGCAGAAAGAGAACUUCAAGAAACACAGGAUCAACUUACAGCUACUAUAAGAUGUACUAAGGGGAUGGAAGGCGACGCACAAAAGUAAAAUUUGAAGCAGCGCACAAAAUAACUUGAGUAUUUAUAAAGCAAAAGAGCACUGUAGUAUGAAAAUUGUAUCAGUUAUGAUAAUAAGUAUGUCUUUGUGAAGCCAAAAAAGUUUCAUUUGUAAGCUGUAUUGAAAUACAUCAUUUUUCUACAUUAUUCCUAAAUUUUGCAUAUUAUCGACAAAACACAGUUAGAAAAAUGACACAGUAGCCCAAUCAUCUACUUUUGUGAUCGCUAAGAAUUUGUGUAAUUAUACCUUCAGAAGUUUGUUUAGAAUUUACAUGAUAAAAAAAAUUAUGUGUGAGAGUAAUUAUUUUAAAAUGCACAUUUUAGGCUUGAAGUAGAAAAUGCCAUGAUGAGAAAAACUAUUAAAAAACAGGAUGACCAAAUUGAGCGACUUGAGAAAAUCCUGCAGCGUUCAAGUUUGAUGCCACAGGUGUUCAAGAGCUAGAUGAAGGUAUGUUGCCAAAAUUUAUGAAUUAAAUUCAAAUCAUUGAUUUCUGAAAUAAACUCUAAGUAGUGAACGGUAUUCCUCUCAAUUGUUUGGUUAAUAAAUGCUACAUUAAAUAUUUUUUCUUACACACAUCUAGUGAAAGAUGUGAAAACAUAAACAUUCAUAGUGAAGAGUAUACUUAUGCUUUGUUAAUUCUUCAUGUUCCAUAGCUUUAAAAAAAUUGCAAGAAGUCUGUGUAUCCCUUUUUUUCUGGCCCUACACUUUUCUUCUGCCACCCCUAUAGAACUGUCAGCCUGCACACUGAAACUGUUCUCAGAAAACAAAGGCAUCAUCAACUUCUCAAGGUUAAGGUAGUGAUUUAAGGCUAACAGACCCCACACUCAUGUGAUAAUAAUUAGUUAAGCAAUUACAGGUCACAAGCAGUCACUUGUCCAGUGACAUUUUAAAUCUCUAGUCAUGACUUUGUCAUUGGUUUACUUUUGCCCCUGGGAAAAGUUGAAAAUUCCUUAGCAUGGAAUCAAAACUCUCACAUCAGUGUGGUUCUUGUCAGGUUAUUCAGCCUUCUCUUUCGCCACUUACCAUACUCUGCACCUUUGUUCUAUCAUCCAGCCAAACUAGACUACAUGGAGCUCCACAGUGAUCGUCUUCACCUCCAGCUCUUUGCAUUUACUUCUUCCCUCUAUCCUACAUGUGUUUUCCUUCCCUUUCAGAUAUCAACCUAUGAAUUGCCUCUACCAAAAAGCCUACAAUAUUGACACAAACCUGGGCUAGUAUCCCUUCUAUGUCUUCUAAUAAGUGCUGUCUUAUGCCUGUCACUGUAUGUAUGACUCUGUAUGGGAAUUGCCUGUUUGUUUUUUCAGAUUAUAGCAAACAGUUGUUGAGGGGUGGACCAUAUCAUCUUUAUCUUGUAAUUCCAGUGCUUGUCCUAGUACCUUAGCACAUGGUUGCUGAAUACAUGAAUGAAGAGUGAGAAACCAGAAGCUCUGAUAUUUAACUGCCGUGAUAAUGAAUUCAAUGUGCAACUAUGGGCAAAUUGUAUUUAAUAGUAAUUGCAUAUUGUACAUAUUUUUCAUUCUUAUUAACACUGAUAAACUUUUCAACUUAUACUGACUUUAAUAAAAUUGUAUUACUAGGCUAUUAACAUGAUAUUUUGUUUCCCAUUAAAUGUGACAUGCAAAGACGUUUAUUAAAUGAAAAUAUUUUUGU
RNAcentral lists this long non-coding RNA (2110 nucleotides) under Homo sapiens (human). RNAcentral's name for it is "non-protein coding lnc-RPIA-1:6". Lineage: Eukaryota; Metazoa; Chordata; Mammalia; Primates; Hominidae. The record is from RNAcentral.